CAAGGGGGUCAUCCCGACUUACCAACCCGAUGCAAACUGCGAAUACCGGAGAAUGUUAUCACGGGAGACACACGGCGGGUGCUAACGUCCGUCGUGAAGAGGGAAACAACCCAGACCGCCAGCUAAGGUCCCAAAGUCAUGGUUAAGUGGGAAACGAUGUGGGAAGGCCCAGACAGCCAGGAUGUUGGCUUAGAAGCAGCCAUCAUUUAAAGAAAGCGUAAUAGCUCACUGGUCGAGUCGGCCUGCGCGGAAGAUGUAACGGGGCUAAACCAUGCACCGAAGCUGCGGCAGCGACGCUUAUGCGUUGUUGGGUAGGGGAGCGUUCUGUAAGCCUGUGAAGGUGUGCUGUGAGGUAUGCUGGAGGUAUCAGAAGUGCGAAUGCUGACAUAAGUAACGAUAAAGCGGGUGAAAAGCCCGCUCGCCGGAAGACCAAGGGUUCCUGUCCAACGUUAAUCGGGGCAGGGUGAGUCGACCCCUAAGGCGAGGCCGAAAGGCGUAGUCGAUGGGAAACAGGUUAAUAUUCCUGUACUUGGUGUUACUGCGAAGGGGGGACGGAGAAGGCUAUGUUGGCCGGGCGACGGUUGUCCCGGUUUAAGCGUGUAGGCUGGUUUUCCAGGCAAAUCCGGAAAAUCAAGGCCGAGGCGUGAUGACGAGGCACUACGGUGCUGAAGCAACAAAUGCCCUGCUUCCAGGAAAAGCCUCUAAGCAUCAGGUAACAUCAAAUCGUACCCCAAACCGACACAGGUGGUCAGGUAGAGAAUACCAAGGCGCUUGAGAGAACUCGGGUGAAGGAACUAGGCAAAAUGGUGCCGUAACUUCGGGAGAAGGCACGCUGAUACGUAGGUGAAGCGACUUGCUCGUGGAGCUGAAAUCAGUCGAAGAUACCAGCUGGCUGCAACUGUUUAUUAAAAACACAGCACUGUGCAAACACGAAAGUGGACGUAUACGGUGUGACGCCUGCCCGGUGCCGGAAGGUUAAUUGAUGGGGU
Molecule: ribosomal RNA, 989 nt
Filed under: Shigella flexneri
Lineage: Bacteria; Pseudomonadati; Pseudomonadota; Gammaproteobacteria; Enterobacterales; Enterobacteriaceae
Description: partial 23S ribosomal RNA
Rfam family: Bacterial large subunit ribosomal RNA
Source: RNAcentral